This 545-nucleotide ribosomal RNA is filed under the name Staphylococcus aureus. Its description in RNAcentral is "partial 23S ribosomal RNA". It matches the Rfam family "Bacterial large subunit ribosomal RNA", at positions 328 to 876 of the family's 2925-position model. The record is from RNAcentral. Lineage: Bacteria; Bacillati; Bacillota; Bacilli; Caryophanales; Staphylococcaceae.
AUUAGACGAAUCAUCUGGAAAGAUGAAUCAAAGAAGGUAAUAAUCCUGUAGUCGAAAAUGUUGUCUCUCUUGAGUGGAUCCUGAGUACGACGGAGCACGUGAAAUUCCGUCGGAAUCUGGGAGGACCAUCUCCUAAGGCUAAAUACUCUCUAGUGACCGAUAGUGAACCAGUACCGUGAGGGAAAGGUGAAAAGCACCCCGGAAGGGGAGUGAAAUAGAACCUGAAACCGUGUGCUUACAAGUAGUCAGAGCCCGUUAAUGGGUGAUGGCGUGCCUUUUGUAGAAUGAACCGGCGAGUUACGAUUUGAUGCAAGGUUAAGCAGUAAAUGUGGAGCCGUAGCGAAAGCGAGUCUGAAUAGGGCGUUUAGUAUUUGGUCGUAGACCCGAAACCAGGUGAUCUACCCUUGGUCAGGUUGAAGUUCAGGUAACACUGAAUGGAGGACCGAACCGACUUACGUUGAAAAGUGAGCGGAUGAACUGAGGGUAGCGGAGAAAUUCCAAUCGAACCUGGAGAUAGCUGGUUCUCUCCGAAAUAGCUUUAGGGC